Long non-coding RNA from Mastomys coucha (southern multimammate mouse), 1092 nucleotides. RefSeq lists it as uncharacterized. The transcript is spliced from 2 exons. Lineage: Eukaryota; Metazoa; Chordata; Mammalia; Rodentia; Muridae. The record is from RefSeq and is a predicted model, not a curated record.
AAUUGGGUUCUUUUUUGCUCCUGCUUUGGGCUGGAUGCUGGUCUCUAGUUUCAUGGACUGUAUGUCUCAACUAUACAGUGAGGCCAUGCCUCCAAAUCACACUCAGCUCUCCUUCCUCCAGCUCAAGACCUCUUAUUAGGUGUCACUUUCCCUACUGGUCAUGAUGCCAUAAUAGGGUCAUAAUGAGAAUAUAGAGCUAGCACGACAGCUUUUCAGUGGUGCCUUCUCUGUGGUUGGUUGGGUAUCACUGACCCAGACAGAGUGGUUAAGCUAAAAAUAUUUGCCCAUAAUGCAUCCCCCACCCCAGCCUUUAGCUGCUGGUGGGAGGAACAGUUGUUUUCAGUUUGAAUUGCUAAUACCACAAACUCCACUUUGCCAGAAAUGGGGCUUCUUGAUGAAUAGUUCCAGAUUUUAGCCAGUUGAGAGUGAAGACAUGUUUGGCCACCUGCUGGAGCACCAAGGACCAAGAGGAGACCAGAUGAGUUUUCAGAGCAGUUCUCAGACACCCAGGACGCAUGUCAUCCUUUGCCUCGUGCUUUCUGCAAUGUUGCUGCUCACCUUCAUCUUUCUAUUAACCCUUGCCAUAAUGAUCCCCUCCUGACACCAUCUCUUCUCCAUUUAUCACCCACUCAGCUCUUUCUCUGAGGUGUUUCUCCCAUGGGGUAUGGCUUUGUCUCUGGCAAGCUCCCCUUGAAUCAUAUCCAGAUGGCUGCCAUUACUUUCUUUCCCUCUGUCUCCUCUUCACACCAGACUCAGUUGACACUCAGCCCUUUGGUCAGGAAAACCAGAGGAAAAGCUCCCUCUUCCAAAAGGAAGUCAGAACAUGCUCUGCUGGAGCCACCAUGCUCAGGGAAGAGACCCAAAAUACAGCUGAGUGUGAUGUCAUUGAAACCAGAUGGAAAGACCAGAAAUCCCUUAAUCCCAGUUAGACCUAGUGAAAGAGCUUUACUCAUGACUGUUGGGACUGAUUAAGAAUAUGGGGGCAGGGAGGAAGAGAGGGAGAAAGAUGUUCUGAAUUGGAUUACCCCUCAAUACAGAAUGGAAUCCCCUAGAUUUUUUUCUCCAAUUAAAUGUGCAUUUCAUUCUACCACA